UACGUAGGGCGCAAGCGUUGUCCGGAAUUAUUGGGCGUAAAGAGCUCGUAGGCGGCUUGUCACGUCGGAUGUGAAAGCCCGGGGCUUAACCCCGGGUCUGCAUUCGAUACGGGCAGGCUAGAGUUCGGUAGGGGAGAUCGGAAUUCCUGGUGUAGCGGUGAAAUGCGCAGAUAUCGCUUGGAACGCCAACGGUGAAAACAGGUUGCUGGGGGUGUGCUGACGCUGAGACACGAAAGCCAGGGGAGCGAACGGG
This 253-nucleotide ribosomal RNA is filed under the name uncultured bacterium. Its description in RNAcentral is "partial 16S ribosomal RNA". It matches the Rfam family "Bacterial small subunit ribosomal RNA", at positions 524 to 776 of the family's 1533-position model. The record is from RNAcentral.